This is a long non-coding RNA of Mandrillus leucophaeus (drill), 1279 nucleotides long. RefSeq lists it as uncharacterized. The transcript has 2 exons. NCBI's taxonomy places the organism in Eukaryota, Metazoa, Chordata, Mammalia, Primates, Cercopithecidae. The record is from RefSeq and is a predicted model, not a curated record.
AAGGGUGUGGGCCUCCCUGGCUGGUCUAGCGAGUGGUGCCUGGGGUGGAGUGGGCAGGCGGGUGUAGCCAGGGCUGGAGAUGUGCUUUGCCUGGCCCAGCUCUCACAGGGGUCUCUGGAAAAUGGGGCACCCACUCCCACCUCCACCUGUCUCCAACCUGGGAUCCUGGAGGCCGGAAAAGUGCUCUUCCAUUUGAGAGAACAAAUGGGGAGUCAAGAGGUCUAUUCUUUUCACCCUGGGUCUGUUACCUGUUUGCUGUGUGACCCUGUCUGGGUUGGACCCCCAGCCCCUCUGGAUGAUCACAGGUGGACAGUCUGAGCAGACACAGGCUUCCUGGUCAGGGACAGAACCAGGUCUACCAACCCACCAAGGCACCCUUGGGGAACUGCCCACGCUGUCUCCCGGGGGCCUGCCUCCCUUACCCCUCCCCUCCACUUCCCCAGGCCCUGCCCCUCGGUGCCCUCCCUGAGGGCCCUGCAUGCUUGUGCCUGGGGUGCUCAGCACCUCUGCUAUCUUGGAUACCUGUGUACUUAGCCCAGGGGGAAAGGGCACUGUCUACCUGUCACAGGGCACCAAGCGAAAGCCAAGAGCCCUCACUUUGCGGGGGAGGGACAGCACAGCAGAGGUGUGGCUUCUGGACACAAGCAACCAUAGCUGUGUGACCUUGGACAGGUGGCUCAGCGUCUCUGGACCUCUGCUAAGCAGCAGGGCUGGACAGGACACACUCUCAGGGGCCUCUUGGCUUGGGAAAACUGCAUUGACUCCAGGACUCCAGGCGAGGGAAGAUGCACCCGACUCUAACCAUACCCCCUCUGCCUCCUCGGGCUGAGGCCUCUGCCAUUCUCCCAAACGUAUGCAAUCAGGCCCGCGCUGGGCCUCCCAGCCAUGCCGGCCUCCUCAUAUGCAAUAUUUCUUCUGGCUUCUCGUGGGGAUGGGUCAUCCCUGACUUGACAUUUCCUGACACCUUUCCCCAGUGAGCGCCCUGCCUGCCUAUGCAUUUUGGGAACAGCCCCUGUGACAUGUCCCCUUACACCGCCCCCUCCCCCAAAGCUGUAUUUUUCUCUGGCUGAGAUUAGAACAUAUUCCUUGUAAAAUAUUUUUCUACAUCGGGUUUUCUUAGGGCUCUUGGGAAGCACAAACGCCAAGGGGCUAUAUUGCAAAGGCCGCUUAUGGUCUGUUUGGGGCCCUCAUCUAAGUCUUUGUCCCACCAGGGGUUGCAGUGGCUUGGGGUAAGUGCUAUGGGGAUGAUUUUUUUUAAAAAUAAAAUUAUUUAAAUCCA